UACGUAGGGGGCAAGCGUUGUCCGGAUUUAUUGGGCGUAAAGAGCGUGUAGGCGGCCUGACAGGUCUGCUGUGAAAACUCGAGGCUCAACCUCGAGAUGUCGGCGGAAACCGUCUGGCUAGAGUGCGGUAGGGGAGAAUGGAAUUCCCGGUGUAGCGGUGAAAUGCGCAGAUAUCGGGAGGAACACCGGUGGCGAAGGCGGUUCUCUGGGCCUGACCUGACGCUGAGGAGCGAAAGCGUGGGGAGCGAACAGG
RNAcentral lists this ribosomal RNA (253 nucleotides) under uncultured bacterium. RNAcentral's name for it is "partial 16S ribosomal RNA". It matches the Rfam family "Bacterial small subunit ribosomal RNA", at positions 524 to 776 of the family's 1533-position model. The record is from RNAcentral.